CGCCUACGGGACGCAGCAGUGGGGAAUAUUGGGCAAUGGACGCAAGUCUGACCCAGCAACGCCGCGUGAAGGAAGAAGGCUUUCGGGUUGUAAACUUCUUUUAAGGGGGAAGAGUAGAAGACGGUACCCCUUGAAGAAGCCCCGGCUAACUACGUGCCAGCAGCCGCGGUAAUACGUAGGGGGCAAGCGUUAUCCGGAUUUACUGGGUGUAAAGGGAGCGUAGACGGCGUGCCAAGUCUGAUGUGAAAGGCCGGGGCUCAACCCCGGGACUGCAUUGGAAACUGGCAUGCUGGAGUGCCGGAGGG
This 305-nucleotide ribosomal RNA is filed under the name uncultured bacterium. RNAcentral's name for it is "bacterial SSU rRNA". It matches the Rfam family "Bacterial small subunit ribosomal RNA", at positions 336 to 656 of the family's 1533-position model. The record is from RNAcentral.